Molecule: ribosomal RNA, 205 nt
Filed under: uncultured bacterium
Lineage: Bacteria
Description: partial 16S ribosomal RNA
Rfam family: Bacterial small subunit ribosomal RNA
Source: RNAcentral
UGCGCAGGCGGUGUGCUAAGUCGGAUGUGAAAUCUCACAGCCUAACUGUGAUAGGUCAUUCGAAACUGGCAUGCUAGAGGACUGGAGAGGAGACUGGAAUGGUCGGUGUAGCGGUGAAAUGCGUAGAGAUCGACCAGAACACCGGUGGCGAAGGCGGGUCUCUGGACAGUUCCUGAGCUCAGGCACGAAGGCCAGGGGAGCAAAC